UACGGAGGGGGCUAGCGUUGUUCGGAAUUACUGGGCGUAAAGCGUACGUAGGCGGCUUUGUAAGUUAGAGGUGAAAGCCCGGAGCUCAACUCCGGAAUUGCCUUUAAGACUGCAUCGCUUGAAUCAUGGAGAGGUUAGUGGAAUUCCGAGUGUAGAGGUGAAAUUCGUAGAUAUUCGCAGGAACACCAGUGGCGAAGGCGGCUAACUGGUCCAUAACUGACGCUGAGGUGCGAAAGCGUGGGGAGCGAACAGG
This 253-nucleotide ribosomal RNA is filed under the name uncultured bacterium. RNAcentral's name for it is "partial 16S ribosomal RNA". It matches the Rfam family "Bacterial small subunit ribosomal RNA", at positions 524 to 776 of the family's 1533-position model. The record is from RNAcentral.